This 1027-nucleotide ribosomal RNA is filed under the name Promicromonospora sp. RNAcentral's name for it is "bacterial SSU rRNA". It matches the Rfam family "Bacterial small subunit ribosomal RNA", at positions 1 to 1051 of the family's 1533-position model. Lineage: Bacteria; Bacillati; Actinomycetota; Actinomycetes; Micrococcales; Promicromonosporaceae. The record is from RNAcentral.
UAGAGUUUGAUCCUGGCUCAGGACGAACGCUGGUGGCGUGCUUAACACAUGCAAGUCGAACGGUGAAGCCCAGCUUGCUGGGUGGAUCAGUGGCGAACGGGUGAGUAACACGUGAGCAACCUGCCCUCCACUUCGGGAUAAGCCUUGGAAACGAGGUCUAAUACCGGAUAUGAGCGCCUGCCGCAUGGUGGGUGUUGGAAAGUUUUUCGGUGGGGGAUGGGCUCGCGGCCUAUCAGCUUGUUGGUGGGGUAAUGGCCUACCAAGGCGUCGACGGGUAGCCGGCCUGAGAGGGCGACCGGCCACACUGGGACUGAGACACGGCCCAGACUCCUACGGGAGGCAGCAGUGGGGAAUAUUGCACAAUGGGCGAAAGCCUGAUGCAGCGACGCCACGUGAGGGAUGAGGCCUUCGGGUUGUAAACCUCUUUCAGCAGGGAAGAAGCGCAAGUGACGGUACCUGCAGAAGAAGCGCCGGCUAACUACGUGCCAGCAGCCGCGGUAAUACGUAGGGCGCAAGCGUUGUCCGGAAUUAUUGGGCGUAAAGAGCUCGUAGGCGGUCUGUCGCGUCUGGUGUGAAAUCUCAUGGCUCAACUGUGGCUUGCAUCGGGUACGGGCAGACUAGAGUGCUGUAGGGGAGACUGGAAUUCCUGGUGUAGCGGUGGAAUGCGCAGAUAUCAGGAGGAACACCGAUGGCGAAGGCAGGUCUCUGGGCAGUUACUGACGCUGAGGAGCGAAAGCAUGGGGAGCGAACAGGAUUAGAUACCCUGGUAGUCCAUGCCGUAAACGUUGGGCACUAGGUGUGGGGCCAGUUCCACUGGUUCUGUGCCGUAGCUAACGCAUUAAGUGCCCCGCCUGGGGAGUACGGCGCAAGGCUAAAACUCAAAGGAAUUGACGGGGGCCCGCACAAGCGGCGGAGCAUGCGGAUUAAUUCGAUGCAACGCGAAGAACCUUACCAAGGCUUGACAGUACGAGAAAGCCCCAGAGAUGGGGUUCUCUUUGGACACUCGUACACAGGUGGUGCAUGGUUG